RNAcentral lists this ribosomal RNA (409 nucleotides) under uncultured Nitrososphaerota archaeon. Its description in RNAcentral is "bacterial SSU rRNA". It matches the Rfam family "Archaeal small subunit ribosomal RNA", at positions 452 to 861 of the family's 1478-position model. The record is from RNAcentral. Lineage: Archaea; Thermoproteati; Nitrososphaerota.
CUGGUGUCAGCCGCCGCGGUAAUACCAGCACCCCGAGUGGUCGGGACGUUUAUUGGGCCUAAAGCAUCCGUAGCCGGUUCUACAAGUCUUCCGUUAAAUCCACCUGCUUAACAGAUGGGCUGCGGAAGAUACUAUAGAGCUAGGAGGCGGGAGAGGCAAGCGGUACUCGAUGGGUAGGGGUAAAAUCCGUUGAUCCAUUGAAGACCACCAGUGGCGAAGGCGGCUUGCCAGAACGCGCUCGACGGUGAGGGAUGAAAGCUGGGGGAGCAAACCGGAUUAGAUACCCGGGUAGUCCCAGCUGUGAACGAUGCAGACUCGGUGAUGAGUUGGCUUAUUGCUAACUCAGUGCCGCAGGGAAGCCGUUAAGUUUGCCGCCUGGGGAGUACGGUCGCAAGACUGAAACUUAAAG